Gopherus evgoodei (Goodes thornscrub tortoise) is the source of this 72-nucleotide non-coding RNA. The record is from the annotation of a RefSeq genome assembly. NCBI's taxonomy places the organism in Eukaryota, Metazoa, Chordata, Testudines, Testudinidae.
GGGAGUAUAGCUCAAUGGUAGAGUAUUUGACUGCAAAUCAAAUGGUCCUUGGUUCAAUUCUAAGUGCCCCCU